Molecule: ribosomal RNA, 1096 nt
Filed under: Microbacterium flavum
Lineage: Bacteria; Bacillati; Actinomycetota; Actinomycetes; Micrococcales; Microbacteriaceae
Description: bacterial SSU rRNA
Rfam family: Bacterial small subunit ribosomal RNA
Source: RNAcentral
UUCCUACGGGAGGCAGCAGUGGGGAAUAUUGCACAAUGGGCGCAAGCCUGAUGCAGCAACGCCGCGUGAGGGACGACGGCCUUNCGGGUUGUAAACCUCUUUUAGCAGGGAAGAAGCGAAAGUGACGGUACCUGCAGAAAAAGCGCCGGCUAACUACGUGCCAGCAGCCGCGGUAAUACGUAGGGCGCAAGCGUUAUCCGGAAUUAUUGGGCGUAAAGAGCUCGUAGGCGGUUUGUCGCGUCUGCUGUGAAAUCCCGAGGCUCAACCUCGGGUCUGCAGUGGGUACGGGCAGACUAGAGUGCGGUAGGGGAGAUUGGAAUUCCUGGUGUAGCGGUGGAAUGCGCAGAUAUCAGGAGGAACACCGAUGGCGAAGGCAGAUCUCUGGGCCGUAACUGACGCUGAGGAGCGAAAGGGUGGGGAGCAAACAGGCUUAGAUACCCUGGUAGUCCACCCCGUAAACGUUGGGAACUAGUUGUGGGGUCCAUUCCACGGAUUCCGUGACGCAGCUAACGCAUUAAGUUCCCCGCCUGGGGAGUACGGCCGCAAGGCUAAAACUCAAAGGAAUUGACGGGGACCCGCACAAGCGGCGGAGCAUGCGGAUUAAUUCGAUGCAACGCGAAGAACCUUACCAAGGCUUGACAUAUACGAGAACGGGCCAGAAAUGGUCAACUCUUUGGACACUCGUAAACAGGUGGUGCAUGGUUGUCGUCAGCUCGUGUCGUGAGAUGUUGGGUUAAGUCCCGCAACGAGCGCAACCCUCGUUCUAUGUUGCCAGCACGUAAUGGUGGGAACUCAUGGGAUACUGCCGGGGUCAACUCGGAGGAAGGUGGGGAUGACGUCAAAUCAUCAUGCCCCUUAUGUCUUGGGCUUCACGCAUGCUACAAUGGCCGGUACAAAGGGCUGCAAUACCGUAAGGUGGAGCGAAUCCCAAAAAGCCGGUCCCAGUUCGGAUUGAGGUCUGCAACUCGACCUCAUGAAGUCGGAGUCGCUAGUAAUCGCAGAUCAGCAACGCUGCGGUGAAUACGUUCCCGGGUCUUGUACACACCGCCCGUCAAGUCAUGAAAGUCGGUAACACCUGAAGCCGGUGGCCCAACCC